Molecule: ribosomal RNA, 608 nt
Filed under: Hepatozoon canis
Lineage: Eukaryota; Apicomplexa; Hepatozoidae
Description: SSU rRNA
Rfam family: Eukaryotic small subunit ribosomal RNA
Source: RNAcentral
UGUCAUGCUUUUACAGUAUGAAAAUUGGUGAUUUAUAAUAACUUAGCAAAUCGCAAAGUGAAAACAGGCGAUAAAUCAUUCAAGUUUCUGACCUAUCAGCUUUCGACGGUAUGGUAUUGGCUUACCGUGGCAGUGACGGUUAACGGGGGAUUAGGGUUCGAUUCCGGAGAGGGAGCCUGAGAAACGGCUACCACAUCUAAGGAAGGCAGCAGGCGCGCAAAUUACCCAAUUCUAACAGUUUGAGAGAGGUAGUAACAAGAAAUAACAAUACAAGGCAGUUAAAAUGCUUUGUAAUUGGAAUGAUAGAAAUUUAAACCCUUUUUAAAGUAUCAAUUGGAGGGCAAGUCUGGUGCCAGCAGCCGCGGUAAUUCCAGCUCCAAUAGCGUAUAUUAAAAUUGUUGCAGUUAAAAAGCUCGUAGUUGAAGUUCUGCUAAAAGUAACCGGUCUGCUUUGAAUAAAAGUGGUAUCUUGGUAUGUAUUUAGCAAUGAUGUCCUUUGAAGUGUUUUUUACUUUAUUGUAAUAAAGCAUAUUCAGGACUUUUACUUUGAGAAAAUUAGAGUGUUUCUAGCAGGCCAACGCUUUGAAUACUGCAGCAUGGAAUAAUAAG